GCCCAGAUAGCUCAGUAGGUAGAGCAAAGGAUUGAAAAUCCUUGUGUCGGCGGUUCGAAUCCGCCUCUGGGCACCA
Molecule: transfer RNA, 76 nt
Filed under: Rickettsiales bacterium
Lineage: Bacteria; Pseudomonadati; Pseudomonadota; Alphaproteobacteria; Rickettsiales
Description: tRNA-Phe
Rfam family: tRNA
About the family: Transfer RNA (tRNA) molecules are approximately 80 nucleotides in length. Their secondary structure includes four short double-helical elements and three loops (D, anti-codon, and T loops).
Source: RNAcentral